UUGGAGGGCAAGUCUGGUGCCAGCAGCCGCGGUAAUUCCAGCUCCAAUAGCGUAUAUUAAAGUUGUUGCAGUUAAAAAGCUCGUAGUUGAAUUUCGGGGUUAGUAGGUUGGUCAUGCCUCUGGUAUGUACUGGUCUCACUGAUUCCUCCUUCCUGAUGAACCUUAAUGCCAUUAAUUUGGUGUUUUGGGGAAUUUGGACUGUUACUUUGAAAAAAUUAGAGUGUUUAAAGCAGGCUCACGCUUGCAUACAUUAGCAUGGAAUAAUGAAAUAGGACGUUUGAUUCUAUUUUGUUGGUUUCUAGGAUCGACGUAAUGAUUAAUAGGGAUAGUUGGGGGCAUUAGUAUUCAAUUGUCAGAGGUGAAAUUCUUGGAUUUAUUGAAGACUAACUACUGCGAAAGCAUUUGCCAAGGAUGUUUUCAUUAAUCAAGAACGAAAGUUAGGGGAUCGAAGACGAUCAGAUACCGUCGUAGUCUUAACCAUAAACUAUGCCGACUAGGGAUCGGAUGAUGUUAAUUUUUUAAUGACUCAUUCGGCGCCUUACGGGAAAC
RNAcentral lists this ribosomal RNA (549 nucleotides) under uncultured Glomeraceae. RNAcentral describes it as "SSU rRNA". It matches the Rfam family "Eukaryotic small subunit ribosomal RNA", at positions 548 to 1098 of the family's 1831-position model. Lineage: Eukaryota; Fungi; Glomeromycota; Glomeromycetes; Glomerales; Glomeraceae. The record is from RNAcentral.